CUAAUACCGCAUAAAGUUGAGAGACCAAAGCAUGGGACCUACGGGCCAUGCGCCAUUUGAUGAACCCAUAUGGGAUUAGCUAGUUGGUGGGGUAAUGGCUCACCAAGGCGACGAUCUCUAGCUGGUCUGAGAGGAUGACCAGCCACACUGGAACUGAGACACGGUCCAGACUCCUACGGGAGGCAGCAGUGGGGAAUAUUGCACAAUGGGGGGAACCCUGAUGCAGCCAUGCCGCGUGUAUGAAGAAGGCCUUCGGGUUGUAAAGUACUUUCGGUGAUGAGGAAGGURAUGAAUCUAAUAGGUUUAUUAAUUGACGUUAAUCACAGAAGAAGCACCGGCUAACUCCGUGCCAGCAGCCGCGGUAAUACGGAGGGUGCGAGCGUUAAUCGGAAUGACUGGGCGUAAAGGGCAUGUAGGCGGAUAAUUAAGUUAGGUGUGAAAGCCCUGGGCUCAACCUAGGAAUUGCACUUAAAACUGGUUAACUAGAGUAUUGUAGAGGAAGGUAGAAUUCCACGUGUAGCGGUGAAAUGCGUAGAGAUGUGGAGGAAUACCGGUGGCGAAGGCGGCCUUCUGGACAGAUACUGACGCUGAGAUGCGAAAGCGUGGGGAGCAAACAGGAUUAGAUACCCUGGUAGUCCACGCUGUAAACGAUGUCGAUUUGGAGUUUGUUGCCUAGAGUGAUGGGCUCCGAAGCUAACGCGAUAAAUCGACCGCCUGGGGAGUACGGCCGCAAGGUUAAAACUCAAAUGAAUUGACGGGGGCCCGCACAAGCGGUGGAGCAUGUGGUUUAAUUCGAUGCAACGCGAAGAACCUUACCUGGUCUUGACAUCCACAGAAUCUUGUAGAGAUACGAGAGUGCCUUCGGGAACUGUGAGACAGGUGCUGCAUGGCUGUCGUCAGCUCGUGUUGUGAAAUGUUGGGUUAAGUCCCGCAACGAGCGCAACCCUUAUCCUUUGUUGCCAUCGAUUCGGUCGGGAACUCAAAGGAGACUGCCGUUGAUAAAGCGGAGGAAGGUGGGGACGACGUCAAGUCAUCAUGGCCCUUACGACCAGGGCUACACACGUGCUACAAUGGCGUAUACAAAGGGAGGCGACCUCGCGAGAGUAAGCGGACCUCACAAAGUACGUCUAAGUCCGGAUUGGAGUCUGCAACUCGACUCCAUGAAGUCGGAAUCGCUAGUAAUCGUGAAUCAGAAUGUCACGGUGAAUACGUUCCCGGGCCUUGUACACACCGCCCGUCACACCAUGGGAGUGGGU
Molecule: ribosomal RNA, 1256 nt
Filed under: uncultured Gammaproteobacteria bacterium
Lineage: Bacteria; Pseudomonadati; Pseudomonadota; Gammaproteobacteria
Description: bacterial SSU rRNA
Rfam family: Bacterial small subunit ribosomal RNA
Source: RNAcentral